This 1418-nucleotide long non-coding RNA is filed under the name Sorghum bicolor (sorghum). Its description in RNAcentral is "long non-coding RNA (SBIC_LNC002323)". Lineage: Eukaryota; Viridiplantae; Streptophyta; Magnoliopsida; Poales; Poaceae. The record is from RNAcentral.
UCUCAUACCAUAGAUGUCAUGGUUAUCAAUAAAAUAAAUUAUAGACUUUAAUUUUUAUAAAAAAGAUAAAUAUAAAUAGAUAUGUAACAUUAUGUCAUCACUUUUUAUGACCAUUUGAUGUUUUUCUCCCGUUGCAACGCACGGGCAUAUUUGCUAGUAUAGCUUCUAUUGAUAAAAAGUAUAUUGUUUAACCAAACAUAUAUUGAAAUAAACUAGAUGACUAGAUGAUAUAUAUAUACCAAGUUGUCAAUGGACGGUAUGGACUACUCAAAGGAACAUGUGCGGUUCCAUGCAUGGGCAGCUAGCACUGGUGAAGCCUCUACGCAUGGACGGCGCAUAGUAUUCUUGACUUGCAUUGCUGGCUCGGUGACUUUUUAUCGAUCUCUGAUUUCUUCCUUGCUCAUGCAUUCCCAGCGCGCGGAACGAAGCUGGCAGGAAAGCCACUCCACUCCACUACUCUACGCCCCGAUCGGAGGAAAAAAAAAAUUGAUAUACUUUCUCUAUGUAAAAUUUAGAUGUCAGUUUAGAUAAGGUUUGGAUCAAAUAUUGAAAAUAUAAAUCAUCAAUAACUUUUAAAUUAUUGAAUUUUGCAAAUAUGAAAAUUGAUGAAUAGAUUUGUCUUGAAAAAUACUUUUAUAAAAGUAUACAUAUAUUAUUUUUUCUAAAUAUUUUUUAUAAAAAUAAGAGGUCAAAAUUGUGUUUUUGAGACCGUGUGACUGUCGUAAAUAACAUCUAAAUUCUAUAUAGAGAGAGUAUAUGUAAAAAAAAAACACAUUGCAUUGCACUGCUAGGUCGAUCAUUAUUAGGAGAGCACGCUGCACGCGGUAUAGCUAGCUAGGACGGAGUAGUAGCAUGCAUGCACGCGUAAGCUAAUAAGCUAGCGUGUACUGAUCUUUGCAUUGGCGGUGUGGUACGUGCUGCACUUUUAGCGUUGGAUCCUGCACCUCUGCAUAGCAUAUAUGUUAAGCGCUUGCUUGUGUCGGUGAUAUAUAGUGGGUCCCUAGCCGGCCUGUGUUUGCAUGCAUGCAAUCAUUUACCACACUGACACAUACUAUAUAUAUCCACUGUUUGGCACACAAGAUACACACAUAUAUACGCGUACUGGUCAGACCUAGCAGUAGAAGUAUAAACCUGGCCAGGCCGGCCCAUACGUGCAUGCCCGGCCUUAGCUUUUGUUCUCAUACGCCGGUGCGCGAACUUCACAUGGAAGUUUCCUAAAAACUCAUAAAGUAUAUAUUACUGCGAAUAUAAUGUGUAUAGGAUCUUGGUCUUCCAUCGUCAGCAUGCAUAUAUAUAUGUUUGCCAAUUAUUAUACAAAACUCAAGCAGUUUGAAUGCCUUGAAACUAGAGGAUCGGGCGCGUUCGCCGCGGCCGAUCGACCCGCUGCGCUGGUACACGUACGGUCGUCGUCUCCGGCC